This is a non-coding RNA of Odocoileus virginianus texanus, 704 nucleotides long. NCBI's taxonomy places the organism in Eukaryota, Metazoa, Chordata, Mammalia, Artiodactyla, Cervidae. The record is from RefSeq and is a predicted model, not a curated record.
CUUUAACUGGCUGAGUCCGCCCCCGGGUCCGAGGGCGACCACGUGCUACGGCGUGCAUUGCUAGAGAAUGACCCAUUGGAGACGUUUCUUCUGUAGGAAAUUCCUACAAAUCUGUAAGAGGUGAUGGCGUCUAGUGUACAAGCGGAGGACCCAUGGUAACAGGGGUAGUGUUCCCACAGUGACCAGAGGAGAGCAGAGUCUAUGGAUGGGUAAGAACGGCCCGAUGAAGUUAUCUUCUGGUUGCUUCUAUUGUCUCAGUAAAAUAUGACAUGAAAUCAUCAGGAAUGGGUAUAGCAUAUUGGAGAUUGAAGAGAAAAUGGGAUAAAAUUGUGGAAGGGUGAAUGGAUUAGAGGAAUGUAUUCAGACAGCAGUGCCUCCUUGAGACUUGGGGACUUUGGGGACCUAUAUUUAAAGUGAGACUCUGGACUUCAUGGUGAUCCAGUGGUUAAGAAUCUGCCUGCCAAUGCAGGGGACAAGGGUUCCAUCCCUGGUCUAGGAAGAUCCCACAUGCUGCGGAGCAACUAAGCCCACAGCUACUGAGCCCGUGCUCAGGAUUUGGUCUCCACAUCAAGAGAAGCCAGACCUGAGAAGCCAGAGCACAGCAACUGGAGAGGAGCCCCGCCUCUCCCCUAGAGCCCGCACUCAGCAACAAAUACCCAGCAUAGCCAAAAAAUAGAAUAAAUAAAAUUUUUUUUAAAAAGUGA